UACAGAGGUGGCAAGCGUUGUUCGGAAUUACUGGGCGUAAAGGGCGCGUAGGCGGCCAUCUAAGUCAGACGUGAAAUCCCCCGGCUUAACCUGGGAACUGCGUCUGAUACUGGAAGGCUUGAGUAUGGGAGAGGGAUGUAGAAUUCCAGGUGUAGCGGUGAAAUGCGUAGAUAUCUGGAGGAAUACCGGUGGCGAAGGCGGCAUCCUGGACCGACACUGACGCUGAGGAGCGAAAGCCAGGGGAGCAAACGGG
RNAcentral lists this ribosomal RNA (253 nucleotides) under uncultured bacterium. RNAcentral's name for it is "partial 16S ribosomal RNA". It matches the Rfam family "Bacterial small subunit ribosomal RNA", at positions 524 to 776 of the family's 1533-position model. The record is from RNAcentral.